CCUACGGGAGGCAGCAGUGAGGAAUAUUGGUCAAUGGACGAGAGUCUGAACCAGCCAAGUAGCGUGAAGGAUGACUGCCCUAUGGGUUGUAAACUUCUUUUAUAUGGGAACAAAACGGUCCACGUGUGGGAUUUCGUAUGUACCAUAUGAAUAAGGAUCGGCUAACUCCGGGCCAGCCGCCGCGGUUAUUCGGAGGAUCCGUGGUUUUAUCGGAUUUAUUGGGUUUAAAGGGGGCGUAGGUGGGUUGUUAAGUUAGGUGUUAAAGUUUGCGGCUCAACCGUAAAAUUGCAGUUGAAACUGGCAGUCUUGAGUACGGUAGAGGUGUGCGGAAUUCGUGGUGUAGCGGUGAAAUGCUUAGAUAUCACGAAGAACUCCGAUUGCGAAGGCAGUUCACUGGACUGCAACUGACACUGAGGCUCGAAAGUGUGGGUAUCAAACAGGAUUAGAUACCCGUGUAGUC
This 460-nucleotide ribosomal RNA is filed under the name uncultured bacterium. Its description in RNAcentral is "partial 16S ribosomal RNA". It matches the Rfam family "Bacterial small subunit ribosomal RNA", at positions 338 to 795 of the family's 1533-position model. The record is from RNAcentral.